CGAAACGGAAGGAAGGGUGGGAUAACGUCAAAUCAUCAUGCCCCUUAUGUUCUGGGCUACACACGUGCUACAAUGGCCGGUACAGACGGACGCAAAGCCGCGAGGUGGAGCAAAUCCUAAAAAGCCGGUCUCAGUUCGGAUUGCAGGCUGCAAUUCGCCUGCAUGAAGUCGGAAUCGCUAGUAAUCGCAGGUCAGCAUACUGCGGUGAAUACGUUCCCGGGCCUU
Molecule: ribosomal RNA, 225 nt
Filed under: uncultured Bacillus sp.
Lineage: Bacteria; Bacillati; Bacillota; Bacilli; Caryophanales; Bacillaceae
Description: partial 16S ribosomal RNA
Rfam family: Bacterial small subunit ribosomal RNA
Source: RNAcentral